UACGUAGGCAGCAAGCGUUGUUCGGAAUUACUGGGCGUAAAGCGAGUGUAGGCGGUUCGAUAAGUUUGGUGUGAAAUCUCCCGGCUCAACUGGGAGGGUGCGCCGAAGACUGUCGAGCUAGAGUGUGGGAGAGGUAGGCGGAAUUCCUGGUGUAGCGGUGAAAUGCGUAGAUAUCGGGAGGAACACCAGUGGCGAAGGCGACUACCUGGCCUGUUCUUGACGCUGAGGCGCGAAAGCUAGGGGAGCAAACGGG
Molecule: ribosomal RNA, 253 nt
Filed under: uncultured bacterium
Lineage: Bacteria
Description: partial 16S ribosomal RNA
Rfam family: Bacterial small subunit ribosomal RNA
Source: RNAcentral